RNAcentral lists this ribosomal RNA (305 nucleotides) under uncultured bacterium. Its description in RNAcentral is "bacterial SSU rRNA". It matches the Rfam family "Bacterial small subunit ribosomal RNA", at positions 338 to 657 of the family's 1533-position model. The record is from RNAcentral.
CCUACGGGGGGCAGCAGUGGGGAAUAUUGGGCAAUGGGCGCAAGCCUGACCCAGCAACGCCGCGUGAAGGAAGAAGGCCCUCGGGUUGUAAACUUCUUUUAUUCGGGACGAAACAACUGACGGUACCGAAUGAAUAAGCCACGGCUAACUACGUGCCAGCAGCCGCGGUCAUACGUCGGUGGCAAGCGUUAUCCGGAUUUACUGGGUGUAAAGGGCGUGUAGGCGGGCGCGCAAGUCAGACGUGACAUUCCAGGGCUCAACCCUGGAACUGCGUUUGAAACUGUUUUUCUUGAGUGCUGGAGCUG